AUUCCAGCUCCAAUAGCGUAUAUUAAAGUUGUUGCAGUUAAAAAGCUCGUAGUUGGAUUUCUGGGAGGGUGCCAAUGUCCGUCGUCGUACGUGUUGCAGCGGCGCCCUUCCAUCCUUCUGUUAACGACUUUGGGCAUUCACUUGCCGGAGUCGGGCUCAGAUAUUUUACCUUGAGAAAAUUAGAGUGUUUCAGGCAGGCUAGGCCGGAAUACAUUAGCAUGGAAUAAUGGAAUAGGACUUUGGUACUAUUUUGUUGGUUUGCAUACCAAAGUAAUGAUUAAGAGGGACAGUUGGGGGUAUUCGUAUUUAAUUGUCAGAGGUGAAAUUCUUGGAUUUAUGAAAGACGAACUACUGCGAAAGCAUUUACCAAGGAUGUUUUCAUUG
This 384-nucleotide ribosomal RNA is filed under the name Strombidium sp. Its description in RNAcentral is "partial small subunit ribosomal RNA". It matches the Rfam family "Eukaryotic small subunit ribosomal RNA", at positions 582 to 975 of the family's 1831-position model. Lineage: Eukaryota; Ciliophora; Spirotrichea; Strombidiidae. The record is from RNAcentral.